GACGAACGCUGGCGGCGUGCUUAACACAUGCAAGUCGAACGGUGAAGCGAGUGCUUGCACUCGUGGAUCAGUGGCGAACGGGUGAGUAACACGUGAGUAACCUGCCCAUCACUCUGGGAUAAGCACUGGAAACGGUGUCUAAUACUGGAUACGACCAACCCUUGCAUGGGGUGUUGGUGGAAAGAUUUAUCGGUGUUGGAUGGACUCGCGGCCUAUCAGCUUGUUGGCGGGGUAAUGGCCCACCAAGGCGACGACGGGUAGCCGGCCUGAGAGGGUGACCGGCCACACUGGGACUGAGACACGGCCCAGACUCCUACGGGAGGCAGCAGUGGGGAAUAUUGCACAAUGGGCGAAAGCCUGAUGCAGCGACGCCGCGUGAGGGAUGACGGCCUUCGGGUUGUAAACCUCUUUCAGCAGGGAAGAAGCGAAAGUGACGGUACCUGCAGAAGAAGCACCGGCUAACUACGUG
This 469-nucleotide ribosomal RNA is filed under the name uncultured bacterium. RNAcentral's name for it is "partial 16S ribosomal RNA". It matches the Rfam family "Bacterial small subunit ribosomal RNA", at positions 28 to 507 of the family's 1533-position model. The record is from RNAcentral.